CGAUAGAGAGUUAUACACUGAAACGGCCUUUAAUAUCACCCCCCGUAGGUGAACUGCGGAGGGAUCAUUACAAGUGACCCGAUUGAGCACGGCGAUGUUCAUAACCCUUUGUUGUCCGACUCUGUUGCUCCGGGGCGAUCCUGCUUCGGGCGGGGGCUCCGGGUGGACACUUCAAACUCUUGCGUAACUUUGCAGUCUGAGUAAACUUAAUUAAUAAAUUAAAACUUUUAACAACGGAUCUCUUGGUUCUGGCAUCGAUGAAGAACGCAGCGAAAUGCGAUAAGUAAUGUGAAUUGCAGAAUUCAGUGAAUCAUCGAAUCUUUGAACGCACAUUGCGCCCCUGGUAUUCCGGGGGGCAUGCCUGUUCGAGCGUCAUUUCACCACUCAAGCCUCGCUUGGUAUUGGCACGGUCCGCCGCGUGCCUCAAAUCGACCGGCUGGGUCUUCUGUCCCCUAAGCGUUGUGGAAACUAUUCGCUAAAGGGUGCUCGGGUGAGCGCCGUAAAACAACCCCAUCCCCUAAGGUUGACCUCGGAUCAGGUAGGAGCCCGCUGACUGAC
RNAcentral lists this ribosomal RNA (558 nucleotides) under Cladosporium cladosporioides. RNAcentral describes it as "eukaryotic LSU rRNA". The stretch from base 223 to 375 matches the Rfam family "5.8S ribosomal RNA". The record is from RNAcentral. Lineage: Eukaryota; Fungi; Ascomycota; Dothideomycetes; Cladosporiales; Cladosporiaceae.